UCUUCGGAGCGAUCAUCUCGAUAUUUCCAUCGAGACGGACAACCACAUUCUUGACACUCUCACUGUGCCACCCACCAUUCGCGAUGUUCCCCCUCUCCUUCUCGUGCUUACAGCAUCAAGAAGGGGAAACGACCGCAGACGCCUUCUGCUUCUCCUUCUUCGAGUUCUUCAGGGGGUUCCACCCUCAAAGUUUUCCAGCA
Molecule: long non-coding RNA, 200 nt
Filed under: Elaeis guineensis (African oil palm)
Lineage: Eukaryota; Viridiplantae; Streptophyta; Magnoliopsida; Arecales; Arecaceae
Description: long non-coding RNA (EGUI_LNC007563)
Source: RNAcentral